AAAGCGAAAGCCAAAUUGGAUUUUGUUAAGGAGGUGCUCCCUUGUCAUUUUCAUCUCCAGAUAGAAGAGCUCUGUUUUCCCAGAAGAUAAAAUAGAAAAGAAGUAGCCCAAGGUGGGUGACUCUGCAAACAGGAUACGGAAUCCGGUUCUCCAGGAACGCAAGCAAACACCAGUCCUGAGGGUCUGCGGUUCGUUUUCCCGGCCCGAGUUCGCUUCAUUGGGCAAAUACUGGAACACCUGCUGGCUGGACUUUGGACACAGCAGACUGACCUCGACCCUCAGGGAGCUGAUCGUCUCUUUGGCGGAAGAGAAGGUAAUUCUACUGAGCAGUCAGAACCACUGAUCCUUAGAAGAAUGCUGAGCUGGAAUUUGUCUGGUGGCUGUUUCUCUGCAUGGUUGAUGGGGAGAACAAACCCAGAGUCUGGCUGCUGGCCACAGGAGAGUCAGAAAUCACCAGAGAGGAAGACGGGGACAAGCUGAGUCCAACUGAGCUGUAAGCCUGUGGCCUGCUCACAUGCCUUCAAGGAAGCAGGAGGGCAGCUGGGGCGGAUGAAUGGGGGGGCGGAGUAGAAUGGUGGGGACGGCCGGCGUGGGCUGUGCCAGCCCAGAGUGGACGGUGCCUCUUUCUCCACCUCAAUUGUACAAAAGUAGGAGACCAGCGCUCUGGCUUGUUGACACAAACACUCCUUUCUCAGCACCACCUUGACUGUCACGGUCAAGAGCUAGGGAUGAUCGCACUGCCCAGCUUCAAAUGGUGGCUGUGACGAACAACUAAUAAAAAAUAAUCAUCAAGCACGUUAAACACAACCCCAUAAAACUUUACCAGUUAAGUCUGAGUAGUUAGGGCAAAGUGAAGCAAGGGGGUCUGUUAGCUCACUCUCCCCAGAAAUAGCCCCCCAUCUGCUAUGGCCACCCUCUGAAGGACUCCAGGAAGGGGCAGUCCUGUCUGGUCACACCUGGAAUCCUACUCCCUGGAGGAUGAGUCUUCAUGGGGUUUGAGAGGAUUAAAUUUCCAGUUCCAGUUAACUUUCUGUCUCUUGGUGAAGACUGUUCUGAGAAUUCUAAUUAAGAAUUUAUUUGUUGAGAGCUAACUAUGGGCCAAGUACUGUGAAGCCUCAAACAUGAAUAUAUGUACAAUCCACUUGGGAAGAUAGCCCACAAUUGUAUGUAAAAGUAAAUACUAGAUAUAAGGCUUAGAUAUCUCCAGACCACACUGGAAGAUCUGGUUUUGUGGUUUGAGGUUCUGUAUCCUGUCCACUUAUUCACACAGCAGGAAUUUG
Molecule: long non-coding RNA, 1280 nt
Organism: Diceros bicornis minor
Lineage: Eukaryota; Metazoa; Chordata; Mammalia; Perissodactyla; Rhinocerotidae
Exons: 3
Source: RefSeq, a predicted model, not a curated record